CCCAUAAUCUUCUCAGACCCAAA
RNAcentral lists this small nuclear RNA (23 nucleotides) under Arabidopsis thaliana (thale cress). Its description in RNAcentral is "snRNA_02119". The record is from RNAcentral. Lineage: Eukaryota; Viridiplantae; Streptophyta; Magnoliopsida; Brassicales; Brassicaceae.